GAUGAACGCUGGCGGCGUGCCUAAUACAUGCAAGUCGAGCGAACAGACGAGGAGCUUGCCCCUCUGACGUUAGCGGCGGACGGGUGAGUAACACGUGGAUAACCUACCUAUAAGACUGGGAUAACUUCGGGAAACCUGCGCUAAUACCGGAUAAUAUAUUGAACCGCAUGGUUCAAUAGUGAAAGACGGUUUUGCUGUCACUUAUAGAUGGAUCCGCGCCGCAUUCGCUAGUUGGUAAGGUAACGGCUUACCAAGUCAACGAUGCGUAGACGACCGGAGAGGGGGGUCGGCCACCCGGGAACUGGACCACGGACAAGGGUCCUACGGGACGCAGCAGUAGGGAAUCGUCCGCAAUGGGCGAAAGCCUGACGGAGCAACGCCGCGUGAGUGAUGAAGGUCUUCGGAUCGUAAAACUCUGUUAUUAGGGAAGAACAAAUGUGUAAGUAACUAUGCACGUCUUGACGGUACCUGAACAGAAAGCCACGGCUAACUACGUG
This 497-nucleotide ribosomal RNA is filed under the name uncultured bacterium. RNAcentral describes it as "partial 16S ribosomal RNA". It matches the Rfam family "Bacterial small subunit ribosomal RNA", at positions 28 to 507 of the family's 1533-position model. The record is from RNAcentral.